UCGAGAAAUAAACUUGAUAAU
Molecule: non-coding RNA, 21 nt
Filed under: Caenorhabditis elegans
Lineage: Eukaryota; Metazoa; Nematoda; Chromadorea; Rhabditida; Rhabditidae
Source: RNAcentral